GACAAACUGCCCUGCAAAGUUAUUGACAUUGGCCUGGCCGCCUGGGGAUGCAAGGCCCUGAACAUUGUGAAGAAGGAGAUGCCAGGCCUGAUGCACAUGCGGGAGCUGUACUAGGCCUCCAAGCCACGAGGCUUCCAGGCUCCAAAGGCACCCGCAUCGCCAGCUGCUUGCACAUGACCAUGGAGAUGGCCAUCCACAUUGAGACCCUCAUCACCCUGGGUGCCCUAGCAGCAACAUCUUCCUCACCCAGAACCAUGUGUUGACUGCCAUUGCCAAGUCUGGCAUUCCAGUAUAUGCCUGGAAGGGCGAAAGGACAAGGAGUACUUGUGGUGCAUCGAGCAGUCACUAUAAUUCAAGGACGGGCCCUCAACAUUAUUCUGGAGGAUGGGGGUGACUUCGCCAACCUCUUCCACACCAAAUACUCACAGCUCUUGCUGGGCCAUCUGAGGCACUUCCAAGGAAACCAAGACUGGGGUCCACAACCCACACAGGAUGCUGGUCAGUGGGAUCCUGAAGGUGCCAAUGACAACAACUCCAUCACCAAGAGCAAGUUCAACAAGCUCUAUGGCUGCUGGGAGUCCCUCAUAGAUGGCAUCAAGUGGGCCACAGAGGUGAUGAUUGCCGGCAAGGUAGCGGUCAUAGCAGGCUAUGGCAACAUGGGCAAGAGCUGUGCCCAUGCCCUGUGGGGUUUCGGGGCCCACGUCAUCACCAAGAUCGACCCCAUCAACGCACUGCAGGCUGCCAUGGAGGGCUAUGAAGGGACCACCAUGGACGAAGCCUGUCAGGAGGGCAACACCUUUACCACCACCACAGGCUGUGUCAACAUCGUCCUUGGCCAGCACUUUGAACAGGUGAAGGAUGAAGCCAUCAUGUGUAACACUGGACACUUUGAUGUGGAGAUCGAUGUCAAAUGGCUCAGCGAGAACAUUGGGAGAAGGUGACCAUCAAGCCCCAGGUGACCAGGUACUCGCUGAAGAAUGGACGCCGCACCAUCCUGCUGGCUGAGGGUCAGCUGGUCAGUCUGGGUUGUGUCAUGGGUCACCCUGGCUUUGAGACGAGUGACUCCUUCAUCAACCAGGUGACUGCACAGAUUGAGCUGUGAACCCACCCAGAGAAGUACCCCAUCGGGGUUCACGUCCUGCCCAAGACGCUGGAUGAGGCAGUGGCUGAAGCCCACCUGGGCAAGCUGAGCACGAAACUGACCAAGCUGACUGAGAAGCAGGCCCAGUACCUGGAGCAUCUCCCCUGAUGGCCCCUUCAAGGCUGAUCAUUGA
Mandrillus leucophaeus (drill) is the source of this 1274-nucleotide RNA transcript. It is a transcript of the gene named adenosylhomocysteinase pseudogene, with no coding region annotated. Lineage: Eukaryota; Metazoa; Chordata; Mammalia; Primates; Cercopithecidae. The transcript has a single exon. The record is from RefSeq and is a predicted model, not a curated record.